Small nucleolar RNA from Apodemus sylvaticus (European woodmouse), 133 nucleotides. RefSeq annotates it as small nucleolar RNA SNORA17. Lineage: Eukaryota; Metazoa; Chordata; Mammalia; Rodentia; Muridae. The record is from RefSeq and is a predicted model, not a curated record. The transcript has a single exon.
CCUGACCCUGGAGACAUUGCAGGUGUGGCUGCUGUGUCACAUGUGUUUCAGUAGGUGGCAGAGAGGAGACAGACUGUGUCUACCUCUCAGUGUUCUGACCUGUGAACUUCUGAAUGAUUAGUAGCCUAACAUU